UUUGUGCCUGCUGCCUAGAGGAAGCCUCUUGAUGGCCUGGGUCUGGAGGCCAGGGGAGCUUGGGUUGCUGGUCCCGUGGGACUGUAAUGAUCAGUGUCACUCAGAAGGGACAAACAUGCGUGGGUCUAUUUCUGUCUGCGCUAUUAUGUUUCAUUGAUCUGCUUGUCUAGCUUCAUGCCAAUGCCUCACCAUCUUGAUUAACAUUCUAAGAGGCUAAUUGGCCAGAGUCACUGCUGGAUUCAAAGGAGGACCCUGUGGAGCCACUGCAUGACCCAGGGGACUAAUCCAUCCAGACAAGAGGACAUUUAGAGCAGGAGGCAAUACGUAUAGAGUCAUUGGCUCCAAAGAAGAUGCAGGGUGAAGAAGCAGGGUCGCUGGCCUUACAAUACUCACAGGCAGAUCCGGGGAAUAGUAGAUGCACACUCCACAGUUAUGAAUGGUGGAAGGUGACAAACUAUGGAAGAAACUGUGGGGAAAAUCUUUCAACUGUAAAGUCCAGGGAAGAUUCAUGGAGGAAGUGAUUCUGAGCGGAGUCCUAUGGCACAGGUGCUGUGUAUGGAGCGAUAACCAGUAAACAAAAACCUCCAUUCUCAUGGAGAGCCUCCACAGAGCCAGGCAUUGAUGCUGCUAGGCCUGAGGGAUCAAGCCUUCCUUCCCUCACCAGGGUCGGGGUCUCCUGCACAAGGCACAUAAGGUCAUGGCUGAGGCGCUUGUGAUUCUUGUUAAUGCUGGAACCCUGCCUAUGACAAACAGGCUAGAAUAUUCACACAGUGCCAACAGGCAGCAAGCACAGACUUCUGUGACUCAGAGUAGGGACAGCUAAGACCCCAAUCACAGUGAGCUUGAGUAUCCCAUAACUCGUUCUUGCUGUUUCCCUC
Molecule: long non-coding RNA, 878 nt
Filed under: Equus caballus (horse)
Lineage: Eukaryota; Metazoa; Chordata; Mammalia; Perissodactyla; Equidae
Description: lncRNA (ENSECAG00000044036.1)
Source: RNAcentral